AAAGAUAGAGAAAAAGUGGGGCUUAGGAUAUUUUUUAUCAAAUUAUCUAUUUCUAAUUGACUAUGGCCUGAGAUUUUCCCUGUCUCUCUAAUUAUAAAAUACUAAGAAAAUCUCAGAUUUACACCUUUUCUCAGAUUCCUGAACAUGGAUAUAAAAUGUUGGCAAAUGUUGCCCAUUUUCUUGCUAUUCAGUUAUCAAAUAUUGAUGUGAAACACUCAGAUUUUACCUCGUAUCAACAACUGAUAUAAAAUCCCUCUGAUGUUUCACUUUCCUGUCUAAACGUAUUUAAUACCCAUCAAAUCCAGAGGCCUCCCCCUGUUUGGGGGAUCAGUGGUUCCCAGCUGGUAACAGGAGAGUUGGCUGGAGCCUUUUCUUUUCUCCAGCUGGCACUGGAUGAGGAGAUCACUGAGUGCAGCAUGGGUCCAGAAGUAUCCCAAAGCCCAUGACAAGUGGUCUCUGUGAGGGGUUGCUUCCUGCAGUGCUAGGAUUUAGCUAGUGACAGGGCAUGGACCUUUCUUGCCCUCCAGGCCUUCCAUUCUCCUGUUAAAGAAGCACCCCCCAGGGAUCCCUCUGCUUGUGUGACUGUCCAGCAGGGGGCAGUGAUAACUUUCUGUCCACUUAGCAGACACAGUGAGGGCCUGCGAAUGUACGUCCAUGUUUUUCUCCAGCUCAUCCCAUCCUCCAUGACACAGGGAAGAGAAAUGGCUGCAGUGGAGCCAGCUCAGGGCCGGUAACCUUCGAGGAGGUGCUGUGUAUUUCACAGGAAGAGUGGCUCUGCUGGACCCCACUCAGAGAGCCCUCUACUGGGAUGUCAUGCAGGGAAACUAUGA
Molecule: non-coding RNA, 830 nt
Organism: Chelonoidis abingdonii (Abingdon island giant tortoise)
Lineage: Eukaryota; Metazoa; Chordata; Testudines; Testudinidae
Source: RefSeq, a predicted model, not a curated record